RNAcentral lists this long non-coding RNA (1099 nucleotides) under Homo sapiens (human). RNAcentral describes it as "HSALNT0326362". The record is from RNAcentral. Lineage: Eukaryota; Metazoa; Chordata; Mammalia; Primates; Hominidae.
GGCCUUACUACCAGAAGCUUGAGCUGGGAGCCUCGGCCGUCGCAUCUCUAAGAAUUUUAAACGGAAGAACGCAGAAGAAUUCUCUUUAUGUUACCUUUAUUUAGCAACAAAUCAACUUGACUCAACUGAUACUUACUGAGUGCCUUUAAAGGUCUCAAAAUUCUGUGACAAAUUUUUGGUCAAGUUGUUUCCAUUAAAAAGUACUGAUUUUAAAAACUAAUAACUUAAAACUACCACAUGCAAAAAAGAAAACCAAAGUGGUCCACAAAACAUUCUCCUUUCCUUCUGAAGGUUUUACGAUGCAUUGUUAUCAUUAACCAGUCUUUCACUACUAAACUUAAAUGGCCAAUUGAAACAAACAGUUCUGAGACCAUUCUUCCACCACUGAUUAAGAGUUGGGUGGCAGGUAUUAGGGAUAAUAUUCAUUUAGCCUUCUGAGCUGUCUGGGCAGACUUCGUGACCUUGCCACCUCCAGCAGCCUUCUUGUCCACUGCUUUGAUGACACCCACCGCAACUGUCUGUCUCAUAUCACGAACAGCAAAAUGACCCAAAGGUGGAUAGUCUGAGAAGCUCUCAACAAUGGGCUUGCCAGGAACCAUAUCAACAAUGGCAGCAUCACCAGACUUCAAGAAUUUAGGGCCAUCUUCCAGCUUUUUACCAGAACCGCGAUCAAUCUUUUCCUUCAGCUCAGCAAACUUGCAUGCAAUGUGAGCCGCGUGGCAAUCCAAUAUAGGGGCAUAGCCAGCGCUUAUUUGGCCUGGAUGGUUCAGGAUAAUUACCUGAGCAAUGAAGUCAGCUGUUUCCAUUGGUGGGUCAUUUUUGCUGUCACCAGCAACGUUGCCACGACGAACAUCCUUGACAGACACAUUCUUGACAUUGAAGCCCACAUUGUCCCCAGGAAGAGCUUCACUCAAAGCUUCAUGGUGCAUUUCGACAGAUUUUACUUCUGUUGUAAUGUUGACUGGAGCAAAGGUGACCACCACACCAGGUUUGAGAACACCAGUCUCCACUCGGCCAACAGGAACAGUACCAAUACCACCAAUUUUGUAGACAUCCUGGAGAGGCAGGCGCAAGGGCUUGUCAGUUGGAUGAGUUGGUG